CCUACGGGAGGCAGCAGUGGGGAAUCUUGCGCAAUGGGCGAAAGCCUGACGCAGCGACGCCGCGUGAGUGAUGAAGGCCUUAGGGUUGUAAAGCUCUGUGGAGAGGGACGAAUAAGCGCCGGGUAAUACUCGGCGUGAUGACGGUACCUCUUUAGCAAGCACCGGCUAACUCUGUGCCAGCAGCCGCGGUAAGACAGAGGGUGCGAACGUUGUUCGGAAUUACUGGGCGUAAAGCGCGUGUAGGCUGUCACGCAAGUCGGGUGUGAAAGCCCGGGGCUCAACCCCGGAAGUGCACUCGAAACUGCGUGACUUGAGUCUCGGAGAGGGCGGCGGAAUUCUGGGUGUAGAGGUGAAAUUCGUAGAUAUCCAGAGGAACACCGGUGGCGAAGGCGGCCGCCUGGACGAGCACUGACGCUGAGACGCGAAAGCGUGGGGAGCAA
This 440-nucleotide ribosomal RNA is filed under the name uncultured bacterium. RNAcentral describes it as "bacterial SSU rRNA". It matches the Rfam family "Bacterial small subunit ribosomal RNA", at positions 338 to 771 of the family's 1533-position model. The record is from RNAcentral.